CUGUAGCUGUAGAGCCCUGCAGAACUUUACGUUCGUUGGUCUUUUGUUGUUUUUUUGUUGUUUUUUUGUUGUUCAUGCAAAAAUAAAUGAAGAAGUACACUUUCCAAGCUGCGCUUUGGUCUUAUGCUGACGACGGACGUAACAAUAGCAGUGAGUACUGGGGUACCAGCCGGUUCUGGUGCCUUGACCGAGGUUCCUGCGGUGGACGACUGGUUCAGGCGCGCGGAGGAGACAUUGGAGGCUGUCCGUGUUCACCUUCAGCAGGCUGUGACUCGCCAAAAGGAGAACGCAGAUCGCCACCGCAGUAAGGCCCCGGUGUUCGGCUCUCGAAUCAAAACCUGCCCCUCCGCCUGCCCUGCCGGAAGCUGGGUCCGCGGUUUGUCCUGAGGAGAGUGAACAAGGCAGUACACUUUCUCUAUGGCCUGAGGGACUGCCACGGUCGUCAUAAAGAGGAGACCAAGCCUGCAGGUCCUCUCCAUGCAGCCUGACAUCCAGCCCCAGCCCUAGCAGUGCUCAGAACAGCAGCAGCCGGAUCAGCAGCAGCAGUGAGGCUUACGACAGCAUAGACAGCUGGAGCUCCGGGUCCACCUGCCUGCUCCACAGCUCCAUCAGUAAUCACAGCCAGGAGACCUUGCAGGCCAGACUCAGCAGCCCCAGCUCAGCCAGAGGACCUCACGGCAGAACUUGUGCAGACAGACUCCAGGGAGGGGCAUACUGCCUCGUGGGGCUACAUGAGGGGGCAGCACAGGCAG
Molecule: long non-coding RNA, 752 nt
Organism: Oncorhynchus tshawytscha (Chinook salmon)
Lineage: Eukaryota; Metazoa; Chordata; Actinopteri; Salmoniformes; Salmonidae
Source: Ensembl